CCUACGGGCGGCUGCAGUAGGGAAUCUUCCACAAUGGACGAAAGUCUGAUGGAGCAACGCCGCGUGUGUGAUGAAGGCUUUCGGCUCGUAAAACACUGUUGUAAGAGAAGAAUGACAGUGAGAGUAACUGUUCAGGGUGUGACGGUAUCUUACCAGAAAGGAACGGCUAAAUACGUGCCAGCAGCCGCGGUAAUACGUAUGUUCCAAGCGUUAUCCGGAUUUAUUGGGCGUAAAGCGAGCGCAGGCGGUUUUUUGAGUCCGAAGUGAAAGCCGUCAGCUUCACUGUGGAAGUGCUUUGGAAAAUGGGUAACUUGAGUGCAGUAGAGGGUAGUGGAAAUCCAGGUGUAGCGGUGAAAUGCGUAGAUAUAUGGAAGAACACCAGUGGCGAAGGCGGCUCUCUGGACUGCAACUGACGUUGAGGCUCGAAAGCGUGGGUAGCAAACAGGAUUAGAUACCCUUGUAGUC
Molecule: ribosomal RNA, 465 nt
Filed under: uncultured Weissella sp.
Lineage: Bacteria; Bacillati; Bacillota; Bacilli; Lactobacillales; Lactobacillaceae
Description: bacterial SSU rRNA
Rfam family: Bacterial small subunit ribosomal RNA
Source: RNAcentral